RNAcentral lists this ribosomal RNA (511 nucleotides) under uncultured archaeon. RNAcentral describes it as "bacterial SSU rRNA". It matches the Rfam family "Archaeal small subunit ribosomal RNA", at positions 345 to 858 of the family's 1478-position model. The record is from RNAcentral.
AAACUUCGCAAUGGGGGCAACCCCGACGAGGGAAUUCCAAGUGCCAGCACUUUGUGUUGGCUGUUCUUCUGUCUAAAAAACAGGAGGAGUAAGGGGCGGGUAAGACGGGUGCCAGCCGCCGCGGUAAUACCCGCGCCCCGAGUGGUGGUCGAUAUUAUUGAGCCUAAAACGUCCGUAGCCGGUCUUCUAAAUCCUUGGGUAAAUCGGGCAGCUUAACUGUCCGAAUUCCGAGGAGACUGGAAGACUUGGGACCGGGAGAGGUCAGAGGUACUUCUGGGGUAGGGGUAAAAUCCUGUAAUCCUGGAAGGACCACCGGUGGCGAAGGCGUCUGACUAGAACGGAUCCGACGGUGAGGGACGAAGCCCUGGGGCGCAAACGGGAUUAGAUACCCCGGUAGUCCAGGGUGUAAACGCUGCGGGCUUGGUGUUGGGGGUCCUUUGUGGGCGCCCAGUGCCGGAGAGAAGUUGUUAAGCCUGCUGCUUGGGGAGUAUGUCCGCAAGGAUGAAACUUA